UAGGGAAUCUUCCGCAAUGGACGCAAGUCUGACGGAGCAACGCCGCGUGAGUGAAGAAGGAUUUCGGUUCGUAAAACUCUGUUGUUAGAGAAGAACAGCGCAUAGAGUAACUGUUAUGCGUGUGACGGUAUCUAACCAGAAAGCCACGGCUAACUACGUGCCAGCAGCCGCGGUAAUACGUAGGUGGCAAGCGUUGUCCGGAUUUAUUGGGCGUAAAGCGAGCGCAGGCGGUCAAUUAAGUCUGAUGUGAAAGCCCCCGGCUCAACCGGGGAGGGUCAUUGGAAACUGGUUGACUUGAGUCCAGAAGAGGAGAGUGGAAUUCCAUGUGUAGCGGUGAAAUGCGUAGAUAUAUGGAGGAACACCAGUGGCGAAGGCGACUCUCUGGUCUGUAACUGACGCUGAGGCUCGAAAGCGUGGGUAGCAAACAGG
This 429-nucleotide ribosomal RNA is filed under the name Bacteroidota bacterium. RNAcentral describes it as "Bacteroidetes bacterium partial 16S ribosomal RNA". It matches the Rfam family "Bacterial small subunit ribosomal RNA", at positions 355 to 776 of the family's 1533-position model. Lineage: Bacteria; Pseudomonadati; Bacteroidota. The record is from RNAcentral.